This 761-nucleotide unclassified non-coding RNA is filed under the name Apis dorsata (giant honeybee). RNAcentral describes it as "uncharacterized LOC102675018, transcript variant X1". The record is from RNAcentral. Lineage: Eukaryota; Metazoa; Arthropoda; Insecta; Hymenoptera; Apidae.
UAUGAAUAAGAUAUGUAUAAAUAAUAAUAUUUCGUGUCAGUUAUUAAUAUUUGUAAACAAUACAUGUACUUGUAUUUUAGUUGGAGACAAACGAGGAUUCCUUUAUUUGUUCAUUUUCCAGUUCAUAGUCAUAAUUCAUCACAACGGUAUCUUCGUCAGUUAGAAAUAAUUUUUAAAAAAUUUUUCAUCAUAAUAUCGAUCGAUAAUUUUUUAAAUUAUCACUGAUUAAAUUUACUGAUUAGAAAAUUUAUCUACUUUCAAUUUAUCUAAAAAGAUAAAUCUUUAUCGCAACAUGAACACCAAUGCUGAUGUAAAUGAUAUUCACUUAGCAUUUAGUAUGAUAAACGAAUUUGAAACUGUAUGGUUAACGAUAAGUAAAGAGGAGCCUAAUCAAGUCAAUUAUCGUAUAAUAAAAUCAUACUUGGAGUAUAUAAAGAAGCAAUUAGAUUUUAUCAUGAAACCUCAUGCUUUUGAUCCUGUCGAGUAUCCAGAUCUAAUAGAAAAAAGAAAUCAUUUUAUGAGAAAAUGUAUUCCACUUAUGGCUAAAGCGGAAGUAUAUUUGGUUACACAUUAUGAUGCCGUAAAGUAUUCUACGAAGUAAAACAACAUGGAAAUAAUAAAUAAAUAAAUAAAUUCUGUGUUAAAUAUAUAAAUUUUUAUUAUGUAAGUCAUUACGAGAAUCAUGUGCAUGAAAAAUAUUCAUAUAAUUUCGUAACAAAUUCUAUGUAAGUAUAUAUUAAUCACCAUAAUAUUAUUUUAUU